GAAGCUUCUAUCUUUUAUCGCUGGAGCAUUUACAUUCUAGAAAACAAAUUCCAUUAGAAGUAGGUAAGUGGGAAGAACGAUUGGAGUUCUACCUGAACAAAAUUACUUAAUUUACAAAAUUAAAAUGUAUUAAAGCCAUGCUAAAUUGCUAAUCACCGAUGAAAGUCUUAGCCUCCCCUCCAAAAAACAAAAGAGAAAGGAAAAAGAAAGAAAGAAACCACCCUAAGCAUAUACAGUACAAUAGCCACCGAGCAUUACAAGUUUACAACCUCAAAUGGGUGAAAAGAGAAGGAACUAGAUCAACCACUGACCAAGCAAGACCAGCAUAUUGGAGGAAUCUAAUACCCGUAUCCACAUCAAAUGAAUUCUGGUGAGAGAAGAAGAAUAGCAACUUUUGGAUAUAACCUGAUUGCUUGAUCUCAUCGGAUUUUUUAACACUUACCGAUCCAUUUAGCAUGGGUAUAUAACUAGUUGAUUUUAUGGGAAUGCUCAACGUGUUUGAUACCACAGGAAGAACCCAUUUUGCCAGGGCCUUGCUACAGAACUUCACAAUGAGUAUUGUUAGUAUUCCUACAAGCGCUCUUCCCAAAAAGGCAGGGACAGUGAGUUGGGUAAAUAUGCGUGGUACAGCUUCAUGGUGGAACUGGUGGUAUGUUUGCUGAAUCCCAGCAACCUAAUAACAUUGCAAAUUUAGUUUGUAAUUGAAAAUUCAUAAAAAUAUUCCUUCCAAGUUAAUAUUGAAAACUGAUAGGUAAUUAAAAUGAUUCUACAAACAGGUAUGAGUUCUAAUAAACUGCUUCCUCUAAGCAAAUUAUAAAUAUACUCUGCACUUUCUAAGGUUUCCCUCACAGAUGCUCCAGCAAGACUAUAAGCACAUAAUUGACAAUUGCCUUCUUUUCCCUUUAUUAAUAGUAACACGGGUGUUAGAGCAUGCUCUUACAACUCCUCAAGGUGCAGGCCACGCAUUUUAUUCCUUGUCCCUAUCCCAUCCAAUCCUAUCCCAUCCCAUAGGGAAUAACCUUUGCUUGAUAAGGACACUCAGAUAUAGGCUCGACAUUAUGACACUUAAAAUUAGUUAGAACCUCAGGCAACUGACGCAAAAACAUUCUUGCAUCAGAAACUCAUACCUGAGUCCAAGCAAAUAAAAUAUACUGUAUAGCUCAAUGCAUACAGCCUUCCCCACAAUAACAAAGGCAGAUAUUGGAAAUUUCAUUUUUAUACUCUAUAAUCAGUUACAAGAUGCUGGGACCUUGUAUGUUUCAUCUACAACUUGAGAUUUCAUUAUCAUACAACGGUGAAAAGCAACUUCUCACAGAAAACUUCACUGUGGCUAGACAGAAGAGAUGUGAGCAAUUCUAAGAAUUUGACAUUUCUAAAUUCUUUCUUGCAAAGAGGAGAGCUAGAGCAUAUGUUCAUCAUUACUUCUUUGUAAAUUAAGCACUCUAUUUUCUAUUCCAGUAUGAACUUUAAAAAGAAUUUGUGAUGCAUAAAGACCACAACACAGAUAUUUUCCUUCAUUUUCUAUUUUCUUCCCACCACAUGCACCCAAGCAUAUUUUCACUUGUCACUGUGGGCUUGGCUCUCAUAAAAUUUUCUUUUUCAUGUAUCUUUUAAGUUUCUUCCAAGCAUCUCCUCUCCCAUGUCUACCUUUGUCUUUAGAGAAUUCUCUUGAGCAAAAUCAUUGACUUUCACUAAAAACAUAUAGAAUAAAGUCCUUGAUCCAAGUUGCAUGAUCUAUGAUAACACUACUGAUAAAAAGAAGUUCAAAAGAAAAUCAAAAUUAAAUGAGAAAGCAAUUGCUUACAAUUCCAAAUGCAACACCAUUGAAGGCUGUAUGGUACUCAAAACUUGGAGUAGGAAAUUCAGGAGUUGGAUAAGCAAAAAGCAACAAGAAGCUUAGGGCAGCCCAGAAGGUCGUAACAUUUUGUCCUGAGACAAUGAAUUCAUCAACAUAUUCAUGAACAGAAAGCCAGAAAGCAAGGAUUGCCAAAUGGAAAGACCACAUAUGACAUCAAUCAAACUGUGCAUACCAAGGUAAAUCCAAAUCAAUGAAGCCCACAAGCAAGCAAACAAUGGCAAAUCCAACAAACUCCAUAUAGACAUCUUGAUUUUGGGUGUAUGAUAGGACAUAAUGCAAGAGGUACCCAGAUAAGCAAACUGUGUUAAGAGUGUGGGAAGAAGGCAAUCCGUAUUCCAAAGCGUUCUCUUCCUCAUCUUUUGUGGCAGUUAUUCUUCUAACAGGAGGGCACUUGGGUCUAGGAGCUGAUGCCACAUCCUAUGAAACAUGAAAGACAUGCAUGGGAAAAAAAUGACUUCAUGGUCGUAUUCCUGUUACAAAUGAAAGAAUCAAGAAAUGGAAAAUGGAAAGGAUCAAACCAGAAAGAAUGCAAAAAGAUACCUUUAUGCAAUUUCCUGUAUAAUCACAGAAAGCCAUUAGAAGGGUUACAGAAAGCCAUUAGAAAGGUCAUUUGCCUAGCCAAUUUGCCAUGCCCACUCUGCAGUUUUACCCAAAAGCAACUCAAUUAAAUGCUUACUUAUAAAAUUCAACACCAAACUCAUAACCCACAUUACCAGCUACCAGAAAACCAAACUAAAAUCGAAACAGAAAGAGAAAGAAAUAUACCCAGAAGAGCAAAUGAAGAAAAACAGUAUAAAAGGGCGCAGAAACAACACACGACUACCCAGAGAAUAAAGCAUCGAAAAAUCCAUGCUGGUACGUAUGCAAAAACAACAGAAAAAAAUUCAAACAAAAUAAGAAAACACACACACACAAAUUAAAGAAAAAAACGAUUAAAAUAAAAUCUGGGUUUUGUUUAUUUCGAUGAAAUCUAGCUAAAAACCUGGAUCUGGAGGAUGAGAGGAGUGCCAGUGAUGACAUUAUGGGUCACCCAAGGUUGAACCGAAGAUCUAAUCUUGUGGGUCACAUUGAGACGUGAAGAAAUGACAAUCCAUGACACAAUCCCUGUAAGAGUCACCCCUUGCCACAAUGUUAUGCUCUCCUUGAAUCUCUCACUUUCCCUCUCUUCCCAGAAACAAGAGGGAUCAAAUAAUUAAAAAAACAGAAAUUGGGAAGCAGAAAGUUUCAACCGUUGGCGGGACAUGGGCACAAGAGUCAGGAGGAGGCCU
RNAcentral lists this unclassified non-coding RNA (3126 nucleotides) under Hevea brasiliensis (rubber tree). The record is from RNAcentral. Lineage: Eukaryota; Viridiplantae; Streptophyta; Magnoliopsida; Malpighiales; Euphorbiaceae.